Molecule: ribosomal RNA, 222 nt
Filed under: uncultured bacterium
Lineage: Bacteria
Description: partial 16S ribosomal RNA
Rfam family: Bacterial small subunit ribosomal RNA
Source: RNAcentral
ACGCUCGACACCUACGGGAGGCAGCAGUAGGGAAUCUUCCACAAUGGGCGCAAGCCUGAUGGAGCAACACCGCGUGAGUGAAGAAGGGUUUCGGCUCGUAAAGCUCUGUUGUUGGAGAAGAACGUGCGUGAGAGUAACUGUUCACGCAGUGACGGUAUCCAACCAGAAAGUCACGGCUAACUACGUGCCAGCAGCAGCGGUAAUCUGAGCGGCUGGCAAGGC